Molecule: ribosomal RNA, 392 nt
Filed under: uncultured bacterium
Lineage: Bacteria
Description: partial 16S ribosomal RNA
Rfam family: Bacterial small subunit ribosomal RNA
Source: RNAcentral
AUACGGAGGAUCCGAGCGUUAUCCGGAUUUAUUGGGUUUAAAGGGCGCGCAGGCGGCCAUUUAAGUCAGCGGUUAAAUCGUGGGGCUCAACCCCAUUCUGCCGUUGAUACUGGGUGGCUUGAUUGCGGUCGAGGUUGGCGGAAUUCGUUGUGUAGCGGUGAAAUGCAUAGAUAUGACGAAGAACACCGAUUGCGUAGGCAGCUGACCAGACCGCAAAUGACGCUCAUGCACGAAAGUGCGGGGAUCGAACAGGAUUAGAUACCCUGGUAGUCCGCACAGUAAACGAUGAAUACUUGUUUUCGGCGAUAUAAUGUCGGAGGCAAAGCGAAAGCGAUAAGUAUUCCACCUGGGGAGUACGCCGGCAACGGUGAAACUCAAAUGAAUUGACGGGG